UAAGACAGAGGGUGCAAGCGUUGUUCGGAAUUACUGGGCGUAAAGGGAGUGUAGGCGGUGGAGUGUGUCUGGUGUGAAAGCCCUCGGCUUAACCGGGGAAAUGCAUUGGAAACUACUCUGCUGGAGUGCGAGAGAGGAAGGCGGAAUUCCUGGUGUAGAGGUGAAAUUCGUAGAUACCAGGAGGAACACCGGAGGCGAAGGCGGCCUUCUGGCUCGUAACUGACGCUGAGACUCGAAAGCGUGGGUAGCAAACAGGAUUAGAUACCCUGGUAGUCCACGCUGUAAACGAUGAUCACUAGGUAUUGGGAGUAUUGACCCUUCCAGUGCCGUAGCUAACGCAUUAAGUGAUCCGCCUGGGGAGUACGGUCGCAAGACUA
This 377-nucleotide ribosomal RNA is filed under the name uncultured bacterium. Its description in RNAcentral is "bacterial SSU rRNA". It matches the Rfam family "Bacterial small subunit ribosomal RNA", at positions 521 to 896 of the family's 1533-position model. The record is from RNAcentral.